Molecule: small RNA, 396 nt
Filed under: Arabidopsis thaliana (thale cress)
Lineage: Eukaryota; Viridiplantae; Streptophyta; Magnoliopsida; Brassicales; Brassicaceae
Description: ATSL041740
Source: RNAcentral
AUUGUGAAAGGUAACGAAAUUUGGUAGAGUUAUUUCCAAGUCGUUUAUCGUCAUUAUCCAUUUUAUAGAAGGGUAUUUGGAUUUAAAUUCGUUGAGUUAUUUGUACUUUCAUGAGACACGUUUUCUCAGAUGCGAAUUAAGACCAGCGGGAUUCUAACAGAGAUCGUGGUCUUGUCUGGUUUCUGAUCGGUACCAGAUUUCGUGGAAAGCUUUGUGACGUCUAAGGCUAGCUUUUCACCGGAGGGAUUUGAUAGUUAACGGUUAGGUUUUAUUUUAGGGUUUCGUUUUUGAGACUGUAUGUUUUUGCUUUUUAUGUCCAGUUUGUUUCAAGGUUGCUUUUGGUUGUGUGAUUUGUUGUAGGACGUUUCUGGACUGUUUCAGAUGCAAGGAGAGAGU